Molecule: microRNA precursor, 70 nt
Filed under: Nannospalax galili (Upper Galilee mountains blind mole rat)
Lineage: Eukaryota; Metazoa; Chordata; Mammalia; Rodentia; Spalacidae
Description: miRNA (ENSNGAG00000008618.1)
Source: RNAcentral
GAGCAGAGCCCAGGAGAGCAAGCCUGUAAGCAGCGUUCCUCCAUGACCUGUGCUCCAGCUCCUGCCUCCA